AUUCCCCACAAAUGCCGUUAAUGUUAAGCCCCGAACCUAAACCCAAUGCGCUAAAACCCCGAGUGCCAAAGAUCUGAGUUCUGAGAGCACCACCACCGCCACCGGAAUCUAUAAGUCAAUCGGCGUUCCGAUGGUCUCUUAAGCAGACUUACUUCCUCAACGACUUCAUCCCUCUCCUAUCAUUGUAUCCACAAGCCUUUUACGCGAAUGAGAAGGUUCACGUGGUUAACGCCGUAUCGGCGCCAUUUUCUUUCGCCUGUGACCUCAGAAUCGCUCGUGGAUAAAGGAGAUUCGUUCAACAAAUUCUUAUCGUCUCGCCAAUCCUUUUUGCUCGCACGAGCUUUGGUCAAUUGCGGUUUCGUCACGAAAACGGAGGAGUCUCGGGUUCCGAGAGCACCGUUAGGAUAUCGUUAUGUUCAUGCCACAGCAUUUUCUUCUUCGGCUGACCGAGACUUCUAUCGAGUUCUCGGUGUUCCUGAAAAUGCCAGUCAGGACGAGAUAAAGAAGGCAUUUCACUCGCUUGCUAAAAAGUACCAUCCAGAUGCAAAUAAGAAUAAUCCAUCUGCUAAGAGGAAGUUUCAAGAUAUAAGAGAAGCUUAUGAGACAUUGAGAGACUCUAAAAAGAGAGCAGAGUAUGACAAGAUGCGUACUCGUGGUUCAGAAGGCGUAGAAUAUGACCAUAAUGAUGCAGAAAGGUUUAGAAAUGCUUAUCGUUCUCAUUUUUCUGAUUCAUUUCAUAAAGUAUUCUCUGAGAUAUUUGAAGAAGCAACAACUCAAUUCUCAUCAAAUAUAGAGGUGGAGUUGUCUCUUAGCUUCUCAGAAGCAGCAAGAGGAUGCACCAAACAUGUGUCAUUUGAUGCAUCAGUUCCCUGUGAUUAUUGUAAUGGGCGGGGCUAUCCACUUGAUGCCAUCCCAAAAGUUUGUCCAACAUGCCGGGGCUUAGGUCAAGUUACAAUUCCUCCAUUUACGUCAACAUGCAUUACUUGUAAAGGAUCAGGCCAUAUUAUUAAGGACUUUUGUGUCUCGUGUAGAGGAUCUGGGGUGGUUGAAGGAGUUAAAGAGGUUAAAGUCACAAUACCAGCAGGUGUGGAUUCAGGAGAUACAAUCCAUGUGCCAGAAGGUGGGAAUGCUGCUGGAAGUGGAGGCCGACCUGGAAGUUUAUACAUUAAAAUAAAGGUCGCUGAGGAUUCAAUCUUUGUCAGAGAUGGUGCAGAUAUCUACGUGGAUUCUAAUAUUAGUUUUACACAGGCUAUUCUUGGUGGCAAAGUUGAGGUGCCUACUUUAUCAGGGAGGAUGCAAUUAAAAAUACCCAAGGGUGUUCAACAUGGACAGCUUCUGGUAUUAAGAGGCAAAGGACUACCAAAGCAUGGAUAUCUUGUACAUCAUGGGGAUCAGUAUGUACGAUUCCGUGUUAACUUUCCCAUUGAAAUCAAUGAACGACAACGUGCUAUUCUUGAAGAACUUGCAAAGGAGGAAAUAAAGGAGGGAAACAGCACUUCAUUUGAAGGAAAUUGGUGGCAGCAAAUUCUUGAACACAUGACGGGUCCUAAGUUUAUGCUGGAACUAUCUUUGCUGAUGUUAAUCCUUGUCUUCAUUAACAAAGUGUUGAGCUGAUAUUUUGUUCAAGAUAAAAUAUGAUUGCACAGCGGACUUGGCAAAGACAAAAAUCCUUGUGAUUGCAAUGUUCUUCAUCCUUACGGACAUGUGAACUGUAAGCAAUUGAUCAAGGUUGCUUGCAUGCAGAUGUCUUAUUGAUCGGAAAUCAACGCUAUCGCUCAAUGAUGCUAUUUCUUGGCGGCCAGUCCUUUAACACAUUAUCAAAUUUCAAUGAAUAAAAUUGCCAGUGAUUAUUUCAUGAGAAUUCUUCUACAGUUUUACAAAUUUAUCGGAAGGUCCCCGUGGAAUACAAAUAAAAAUUGGGAAAUUCCGAUGUAUAUUUUUUCCCUCAAAUUUUCAAAAUGUUAUUUUGUGCAUUUGAUGUUGUAAUUUACCCUGCUCGGGGGGUUGGAUUUCUUUAAUGUAAAGUCUGUUUGGAUACAAGUAGAACUUCUCUAUCAGAAAAUAUUUUUUAUUUUUGGUAGAGAAAUUUUUAAAAACGUUUUUAGCUUGUAUCCAAACAUUUGGAUUCUUUUGUGCU
Molecule: non-coding RNA, 2137 nt
Organism: Cajanus cajan (pigeon pea)
Lineage: Eukaryota; Viridiplantae; Streptophyta; Magnoliopsida; Fabales; Fabaceae
Source: RefSeq, a predicted model, not a curated record